This 72-nucleotide transfer RNA is filed under the name Pangasius djambal. RNAcentral describes it as "tRNA-Glu". Lineage: Eukaryota; Metazoa; Chordata; Actinopteri; Siluriformes; Pangasiidae. The record is from RNAcentral.
UCCCUGGAGGACUAGUGGUUAGGCCACAGCGCUCUCGUAGCUGCAGCCCAGGUUUGAUUCCCAGCCAUGGAA